AGAAGCUUAGGAUAGCAUUAAUAAACCUGGGGCCUUCAAAGCCCUCAACGAGAGUGAAAAUCUCUCAGCUCCUG
Molecule: transfer RNA, 74 nt
Filed under: Ponticola kessleri (bighead goby)
Lineage: Eukaryota; Metazoa; Chordata; Actinopteri; Gobiiformes; Gobiidae
Description: tRNA-Trp
Rfam family: tRNA
About the family: Transfer RNA (tRNA) molecules are approximately 80 nucleotides in length.
Source: RNAcentral